UAUUGGCGUUAUGAUAGGUCAGAUCACCUGUCAAUCAAGCUCACUGUGAACGUUCAAUGACAUUUUAACAUGUAUUUACAAAGAAAACAUCUCAUGUUUCACUUCUGUUAAAUGUGAUGAAAUAAAUAUUUUGUGUGAAAUAUGAACAGCUAUGCUAAUCUUUCUCCUUUUGUUUUCCUGUUUCUCCAGCCUCGCGUGUGGAGACUUCAGAAGAUGCCAGACCUCACAAAGAUUUCAGAUGAUGGAAACUAUAGAUGAACAUGCAAAGCUGCUAAAUAAUCCUUAUAUUGUAAUCAUUGCCCUAAAAGGGAGGAACUUGUCAGCAAAUCUACUUCACAGCACAUCAGUGAAAGCAGUUAACAGUUACAGACGUGUGUGUUGGAUCAGGGUCAGAUCUGAAUUCUGCAGGUUUCCUGUGAUGACCGUUGAAGAGAUCAGCACAUCAGAUGUUGGCCUGGACAGCUGUACCUACAGUACACCACACUGACUUCUUUGCAUGGAUAGCUGACUACUACUACUACUAUUAUGUUCUGUGAAGGUAUUAUUAUAGGAAACCUGAACACCUGUGACAGUGGAAAUGUUGUAAUGAAUAGUCACACAUUCAUAUUUGUAAAUUGAAAAUUUUUUAGUACUAACAAUGUUUCUUUUUAACUAAUUCUCUCCAGCAAACACAACAAAACAGUUACACCAUUUCAUAUUCUGCGGUGCACAAACCCUAUUCUACAAAUAAGAGAACAACAGUAUAGACCCUUUGCACGUGACGUCACCCUCUACUCGCACGAAUUGUGAAUGCCACGACGGACGGCAGAAGAGCUUUGCUGUAGGACGGACCGCAAGCCAAACGAGUACGAGUUCGUGUUCGUUCGUGUAAUAAAAUGUUUUGUUUUUUUUUUCUCGCUGCAGUGUUUUAAUGUGAAAGGCUGUGAAUUCUCUGUGGACUUCAAGUGUUCAGAGAAAUACAUCGCGACCCAGAUCGCAAACUGACAUAGAAUCAACGUAGAAUCGACGUUUCUCGCGGAGUCGAAACGACGUUGAUCUCCGACGUCGAUCCAACAUAGUUUUGCUCAUCGGGUUAACGUUGAUCCGACGUCAGGCGCGCCAUUCAAAACUAACGGAAAAUCGACGCAAUUGGUUGUCUUACCUAACGUUGAAUCAACGUCGAUUUCCAGUCAGUUGAAACGACGUCAGAGAAUCGAUACGUUUUCAACAUAAAAUCGAUCUAAUUGGUUUGCUUACCUAACAUUGAAACGACGUUGAUUUCAUUGGGGUAAAACUACUUUACUAUUCACAUUUUCUGCUUGUUUUAAAAAUCUCACAUACUUACUACUAAAUAAAUUAGACUGUAUAAUUAAAACUUUAUUAAACACAUCACAUUCAGUCACAAUUUCUUUAUUAUUUAUACAAUACAGUUUAUACACAGUUACAAAUACAUGUGUAGAGCACAAACCUUCACAAGUCAAGAAAAUGCUUUUACACACAAAUAGGUAUAAAGUAUAUUAUAGGCUAAUAUAAAUUGUGUCAAGUAACAAAUUAAAAGCUAUAUUCACUGAAUAAAAAAAAAAAAAUAUGACCAACUGUGUUUGACUUAUUUUCAGUGAGUCACAAAAGAAGAUGCAAGGCAGAACCUUACGAACUGACAGCCUCAGUCACAGUUCACUAUCAUUACUUUUCAAAAAAAAUAUAUAUACACAUAUAAAAAAAUAAUGGUGA
Molecule: long non-coding RNA, 1710 nt
Organism: Carassius gibelio (silver crucian carp)
Lineage: Eukaryota; Metazoa; Chordata; Actinopteri; Cypriniformes; Cyprinidae
Exons: 3
Source: RefSeq, a predicted model, not a curated record